AUUGAACGCUGGCGGCCGGCCUAACACAUGUAAGUCGAGCGGAGCGGCGGACGGGUGAGUAAUACCUAGGAAUCUGCCUGGUAGUGGGGGAUAACGUUCGGAAACGGCCGCUAAUACCGCAUACUAUCAGAUGAGCCUAGGUCGGAUUAGCUAGUUGGUGAGGUAAUGGCUAACCAAGGCUACGAUCCGUAAAUGGUCUGAGAGGAUGAUCAGUCACACUGGAACUGAGACACGGUCCAGACGCCUACGGGAGGCAGAAGUGGGGAAUAGUGGAGAAUGGGCGAAAGUCUGAUCCAGCCAUGCCGCGUGUGGGAAGAAGGUCUUCGGAUUGUAAAGCACUUUAAGUUGGGAGGCGUUAGCGACAGAAUAAGCACCUGCUAAGUCUGUGCCAGCAGGCGAGGUAAUAC
RNAcentral lists this ribosomal RNA (407 nucleotides) under uncultured bacterium. Its description in RNAcentral is "partial 16S ribosomal RNA". It matches the Rfam family "Bacterial small subunit ribosomal RNA", at positions 30 to 526 of the family's 1533-position model. The record is from RNAcentral.